RNAcentral lists this ribosomal RNA (429 nucleotides) under Chloroflexota bacterium. Its description in RNAcentral is "Chloroflexi bacterium partial 16S ribosomal RNA". It matches the Rfam family "Bacterial small subunit ribosomal RNA", at positions 355 to 776 of the family's 1533-position model. The record is from RNAcentral. Lineage: Bacteria; Bacillati; Chloroflexota.
UGGGGAAUAUUGCACAAUGGGCGCAAGCCUGAUGCAGCCAUGCCGCGUGUGUGAAGAAGGCCUUCGGGUUGUAAAGCACUUUCAGCGGGGAGGAAGGCGUUAAGGUUAAUAACCUUGGCGAUUGACGUUACCCGCAGAAGAAGCACCGGCUAACUCCGUGCCAGCAGCCGCGGUAAUACGGAGGGUGCAAGCGUUAAUCGGAAUUACUGGGCGUAAAGCGCACGCAGGCGGUCUGUCAAGUCGGAUGUGAAAUCCCCGGGCUCAACCUGGGAACGGCAUUCGAAACUGGCAGGCUAGAGUCGUGUAGAGGGGGGUAGAAUUCCAGGUGUAGCGGUGAAAUGCGUAGAGAUCUGGGGGAAUACCGGUGGCGAAGGCGGCCCCCUGGACGAAGACUGACGCUCAGGUGCGAAAGCGUGGGGAGCAAACAGG